CCUACGUGAGGCUGCAGUGGGGAAUAUUGGACAAUGGGCGAAAGCCUGAUCCAGCCAUGCCGCGUGUGUGAAGAAGGCCUUCGGGUUGUAAAGCACUUUCAGUGGGGAAGAAAGCCUUGGGGCUAAUACCCUCGAGGAAGGACAUCACCCACAGAAGAAGCACCGGCUAACUCCGUGCCAGCAGCCGCGGUAAUACGGAGGGUGCGAGCGUUAAUCGGAAUUACUGGGCGUAAAGCGCGCGUAGGCGGUCUGAUAAGCCGGUUGUGAAAGCCCCGGGCCCAACCUGGGAACGGCAUCCGGAACUGUCAGGCUAGAGUGCAGGAGAGGAAGGUAGAAUUCCCGGUGUAGCGGUGAAAUGCGUAGAGAUCGGGAGGAAUACCAGUGGCGAAGGCGGCCUUCUGGACUGACACUGACGCUGAGGUGCGAAAGCGUGGGUAGCAAACAGGAUUAGAUACCCUUGUAGUC
RNAcentral lists this ribosomal RNA (465 nucleotides) under Vreelandella stevensii. RNAcentral describes it as "partial 16S ribosomal RNA". It matches the Rfam family "Bacterial small subunit ribosomal RNA", at positions 338 to 795 of the family's 1533-position model. Lineage: Bacteria; Pseudomonadati; Pseudomonadota; Gammaproteobacteria; Oceanospirillales; Halomonadaceae. The record is from RNAcentral.